RNAcentral lists this ribosomal RNA (501 nucleotides) under uncultured bacterium. RNAcentral's name for it is "bacterial SSU rRNA". It matches the Rfam family "Bacterial small subunit ribosomal RNA", at positions 30 to 523 of the family's 1533-position model. The record is from RNAcentral.
AUUGAACGCUGGCGGCAUGCUUUACACAUGCAAGUCGAACGGUAACAGGGAGCUUGCUCCGCUGACGAGUGGCGAACGGGUGAGUAAUGCAUCGGAACGUACCCAGUCGUGGGGGAUAACGUAGCGAAAGUUACGCUAAUACCGCAUACGUCCUGAGGGAGAAAGCGGGGGACCGAAAGGCCUCGCGCGAUUGGAGCGGCCGAUGUCGGAUUAGCUAGUUGGUACGGGUAAAGGCCUACCAAGGCGACGAUCCGUAGCGGGUCUGAGAGGAUGAUCCGCCACACUGGGACUGAGACACGGCCCAGAUUCCUACGGGAGGCAGCAGUGGGGAAUUUUGGACAAUGGGCGCAAGCCUGAUCCAGCCAUGCCGCGUGAGUGAAGAAGGCCCUCGGGUUGUAAAGCUCUUUUGUCCCGGAAGAAAAGCAAUCGGUUAAUACCCGGUUGUUCUGACGGUACCGGAAGAAUAAGCACCGGCUAACUUCGUGCCAGCAGCCGCGGUAA